This 1853-nucleotide long non-coding RNA is filed under the name Marmota monax (woodchuck). Lineage: Eukaryota; Metazoa; Chordata; Mammalia; Rodentia; Sciuridae. The record is from RNAcentral.
UGUGUGUGUGCGCGUGUGCGUGUGUGCAUAGUUACCACCUUAAAAAUAAAACACCCGAACAGCAUACUUGAAGAAUGUAAUACUCCAACUCUCAGUGCUUCCUUAUGGUUUCUAAUAGGAUUUUUUAUUAUUGUUAUUAUUAUUAUUGGGUUUUUUUGGAAGGGGGUUGGGAGGGUCUUUUAUUUUUCCUUUGAAAUAAAGAAGUGAUGUUUUUAAAUGGAGACGUGUGGCUAUUUAAAUGUGCUGCUCCCUCUUGUCCUGACACAGCGUGAGGAGGGGACUCGCUGGGGACAAGGCACUGUCUUGACAUGCAUCCUCAACGCCCCGCUGUGGCGGCUGCUUCGUGGGGUCCUGCCAACCCCUCUCCACCCCUCCCCGGCUCAGCGAGGUGGGGAGUCCAGGUGCGCAGGGGCAGGGAGGCCACGUCCCCAGAGCGCGUGCUACAGCGGGGACAGUUUGGCCCCAAGAAAUAUUCACCCAGUGACCUUGAGCUGGGGCUGUCAGUUAGGAAAAAUGGAGAGUCACAGCGAUUCCUUGUGUUUCCUUAAUUUAUUGUCACACCCCCGAUGGCCGAAACCAAAGUGAUGUGCGUCCUCUGUCUGCUCCUCGCCCGGCUCCCUGCAUUUCAAAGCUUUAUUCUGCCCGCCUCAGAGGACCUGCUGAAGGGGAUUCCACACAGCAGCAAGGGACCCACGUCUCGGUGUCCCCGUCGCCGGCUUCCUAUUCAUCGAGACUGACGUCUUCACGAACUGUGCUCAGUGGACUUUUGGAGACAGUCACCCUGGUGGGACCUGGACUCGGAGCUCGCCUGGAGAGCCUGGUUCGUCUUCGCGCAGUGUGGGUCCCCAAUGCCAUUCCCUCUCGUCCUCCGUCUGUGCGCCCACGUGCUGCACAGGGCCUGGGCCACACCCUGGAGAGAGAGCAGAGCCCGCUUUGCCUGUCCCCACGCCAGGAGCUGCUUCUGGAACCAUAUCAGCGUUGCCCUGUGUGCGGGAAAGGAUGACAUGGGGGACCGCUCUGGCCUUCUUUGACUGUGGCCAGGCGGCCUGCCCGGUCAGCUGGCUGUCUCCAGGACCCCUUGAUAUGAUAACUCAGGUACCAGUCGCACCCCAUCCCCAGAUGAUUGUAGUGCGCCUCCGUCACCAUGAGCCCCCAGCGCAGGGACCACAGGGGUGAUUUUUCUUUUUUAAGAAAUAGAAACCAUCAGAACCAAUUCACAUUCAUGCCAAAAACAAAUCGUCCCCAAGCCUAGACCCUUAACAUGUCACCUUUGCCUGAAACACUGCAGCGACUUGAGCAGGAGUGCCAAAGGACACCACGACCUUGACAGACUGCUGUAGCUUCAUUGCUCAGAGAAGAGAGCCUUACAGAGUUAAUUAAAAAGAAACAUUCAGAAAUGCCCUCGCAGAAACCCAGGAGUUUUUCAGACAAACUUGGAGUCUCCGGCUGCUUAGUGGCUCCAGAGAUCUGCACUGUGACGCGCCGGUUGACGUUGUUCCCAUUUGCCUUUGGGACAGUUCCCAUCGAGGGAAGGUCUUCACCUCUGGAAGGCCCAGAGCUGCCCCGGACAGGCCCACUCCCCUUCCACCACAGUUCAGGGUAGGUGCGAUUGUGCCUUCCUGUCCCCUGUGUCCUGACCGCUCACCAAGUCCUCCCGCCACCCUGUGCAUCCCGCGCGCCCGGCAGCCACCCAUCUGUUGGUGCCCGCCUGUGCUCCAUGUUGACCACCCCUGUUGCCUUCGAGUUUCCUCUCCGGGUGGCUGUUCCUAGGUCCCCUUGAUGUCCCAAGCCUUUCUAGAACCUCACCCUUAAGUGUUCUCUAUAGGACUCGAUCUCACUUCAGUGACUCCGCG